Molecule: ribosomal RNA, 295 nt
Filed under: uncultured bacterium
Lineage: Bacteria
Description: partial 16S ribosomal RNA
Rfam family: Bacterial small subunit ribosomal RNA
Source: RNAcentral
GACGAACGCUGGCGGCGUGCUUAACACAUGCAAGUCGAGCGGUAAGGCCCUUUCGGGGGUACACGAGCGGCGAACGGGUGAGUAACACGUGGGUGACCUGCCCUCAGCUCGUGGGAUAAGCCUGGGAAACCGGGUCUAAUACUGGAUAUGACUCCAUGACGCAUGUUGUGGGGUGGAAAGCCUUGUGCGGCUGAGGAUGGGCCCGCGGCCUAUCAGCUUGUUGGUGGGGUGAUGGCCUACCAAGGCGACGACGGGUAGCCGGCCUGAGAGGGCGACCGGCCACGACUGGGACUGA